UACGAAGGGGGCUAGCGUUGCUCGGAAUCACUGGGCGUAAAGCGCACGUAGGCGGCUUGUUAAGUCAGUGGUGAAAUCCUGGAGCUCAACUCCAGAACUGCCUUUGAUACUGGCGAGCUUGAGUUCGGGAGAGGUGAGUGGAACUGCGAGUGUAGAGGUGAAAUUCGUAGAUAUUCGCAAGAACACCAGUGGCGAAGGCGGCUCACUGGCCCGAUACUGACGCUGAGGUGCGAAAGCGUGGGGAGCAAACAGG
Molecule: ribosomal RNA, 253 nt
Filed under: uncultured bacterium
Lineage: Bacteria
Description: partial 16S ribosomal RNA
Rfam family: Bacterial small subunit ribosomal RNA
Source: RNAcentral